This 1731-nucleotide ribosomal RNA is filed under the name Dendrobium catenatum. RNAcentral's name for it is "SSU rRNA". The stretch from base 2 to 1106 matches the Rfam family "Eukaryotic small subunit ribosomal RNA", at positions 4 to 1116 of the family's 1831-position model. Lineage: Eukaryota; Viridiplantae; Streptophyta; Magnoliopsida; Asparagales; Orchidaceae. The record is from RNAcentral.
CCUGGUUGAUCCUGCCAGUAGUCAUAUGCUUGUCUCAAAGAUUAAGCCAUGCAUGUGUAAGUAUGAACUAUUUCAGACUGUGAAACUGCGAAUGGCUCAUUAAAUUAGUUAUAGUUUUUUUGAUGGUACGUACUACUCGGAUAACCGUAGUAAUUCUAGAAACGUGCACCAAAACCCCGACUUAUGGAAGGGAUGCAUUUAUUAGGUAAAAGGCUGAUGCGGGCUUAUGCCCGUUUCCCUGAAGAUUCAUGAUAACUUGUCGGAUCGCACGGCCCUUGUGCCAGCGACGCAUCAUUCGAAUAUCUGCCCUAUCAACUUUCGAUGGUAGGAUAGGGGCCUACCAUGGUCGUGACAGGUGACGGAGAAUUAGGGUUCGAUUUUGGAGAGGGAUCCAGAGAGACAGCUACCACAUCGAAGGAAGGCAGCAGGCGCGCAAAUUACCCAAUCCUGACACGGGGAGGUAGUGACAAUAAAUAACAAUACCGGGCUCUUCGAGUCUUGUAAUUGGAAUGAGUACAAUCUAAAUCCCUUAACGAGGAUCCAUUAUAGGGCAAGUCUGGUGCCAGCAGCCGCAGUAAUUCCAGCUCCAAUAGCGUAUAUUUAAGUUGUUGUAGUUAAAAAGCUCGUAGUUGGACCUUGGGUUGGGUCGGUCAGUCCGCCUCACGGUGUGCACCGCCCACCUCGUUCCUUAUGCCGGCGAUGCGUUCCUGGCCUUAACUGGCCAGGUCGUGCCUCCGGAGCCGUUACUUUGAAGAAAUUGGAGUGCUCAAAGCAAGCCCACGCUCUGGAUACGUUAGCAUGGGAUAACACCACAGGAUUUCGGUCCUAUUGUGUUGGCCUUCGGGAUCGAAGUAAUGAUUAAGAGGGACGGUCGGGGGCAUUCGUAUUUCAUAGUCAGAGGUGAAAUUCUUGGAUUUAUGAAAGACGAACCACUGCAAAAGCAUUUGCCAAGGAUGUUUUCAUUAAUCAAGAAUGAAAGUUGGGGGCUCGAAGACGAUCAGAUACCGUCCUAGUCUCAACCAUAAACGAUGCCGACCAGGGAUCGGCGGAUGUUGCUUUUAGAACUCCGCCGGCACCUUGUGAGAAAUAAAAGUUUUUGGGUUCCUUGAAAGUUGCAAAUGCAUUAGAAAUAAAGAGAAAAUACAAGUACAACCAAAAAGAGCUAAGCUCUAUCACUCUCCUCCGUCACAAGUUCAACAAAAGUUAAAGGGAUAAGAGAGGAAGUUACAUCAAGCCAAAUAAAAUCACCCAAGAGGGCAUGUUUAGCACAAAAAUCAGCAGGUCUAUUACUAAGCCGAGGAAUAUGCUGGAAGAUAACUUGUCUAAAUUUGCUAAGGAAGCUAAGGUCCGGACCAUCCACCAUACGGUGUAGCCCACUAGCCGGUUGGUAAAUCUCUUGAAGCCACUUCACUGCCUCCGAGCUAUCCCCUUCCACAAUGAGUCCCUCACGAUCAUACAUCCAAUCGUCGAUCAAUUCCGCAAAGGCUAAGGCUGCCUUUAGUUCAGCUUGUAUGGGGUCCCAGUGUUCAAUGAACCUCCCCGACGCCACAACCAAUCUGCCCAUGUCAUCCCGCACAACCAAACCGAGACCCGCACGGUUCGAUGAAGUCAGCGCCGCAUCAAAGUUCACUUUGAGCCAAUUAGGAGGGGGUGUGCACCAUAAAUGAUUAGUUGGCAACCCAAUGGGUUGAUUGAUGCACCAUUGCUCCAUCUGAGGCAUGCAAAAAGAUU